RNAcentral lists this small nucleolar RNA (159 nucleotides) under Numida meleagris (helmeted guineafowl). Lineage: Eukaryota; Metazoa; Chordata; Aves; Galliformes; Numididae. The record is from RNAcentral.
CCUGCACACUGUUAAAGCUUGAGGCUGAGGUCAGUUCCUGACGAAUGAGCUCUCAAGUGUCGGAAGUGUGCUACAGCAAAAACACAUGGCAGAGUGUUGCUAAUGCCAGGAGAGGAGCUCCCUCUAUGAUUGGAGUUUGAUGGCAGCCCUGCCACAUGC